UUUUCCGAUUUUCCCCAAUUUCUUCCAUGCUUCUAGUCCAAGCUUUGACCAGUUUGCCCUAAAUCUUCGAGUCUUCGACGAGUUCUGCCCUAAAUCUUCCAACCAGCUAGCUUCUCCGCUUUUCCAAGCUUUGAUUGGACCGAGCUUCAACCAGGUACCUUCUCCAAGUGGCAGGUACCUUCUCGACUGUUCCGAGCUUCGACCGGGGGCAGGGCAGGUAUAUUACCUUCUCCAAACUUCGAUUCUGAGCUCUAAUUCUCCCUUCCCCAAACUCAUGCUUGCUCGAUUGAGCCGAUUUUGUACUCUCUCUCUCUCUUUCUCUUUGUAGCCAGUCUAUCUUCGAUUUUGGGCAGUGGGUAGUGUAUCUUCGAUUCUGUACAUAUAGAUGCUUAUGAAAUAUAGUUGUAGCAUAUAGGUGUUUAUGAAACAUAUUUAGUAUAGAGGUACAGUGGUUACCUUAGCUUUGUUCUUUUUUCUUUGCAUAUAUACUUCUGGAGAUGGGUUUAGUUCUGUUAAGAGGUUCUAGAGCAGUGGAGUGGUCUUGUUAUUUUCAUUUAACAUCGCUCCUUGACAGGUUUUGAGAAAAGUAGAUUCUUUGAGGAAGAAGGUGAUUUCUUUUGGCAAGGUACAUGCCUCUCAUUGUGCAAAGGUUAAUCCCCAGUCUGUACAUAUUUUCAGAAUAUCCUAUAACCAGUUUAAAUUUGUUACAGAUGCCUUGUGCUUUUAAGACUUAUUAUUGAUUUGUGGUCUUUUUUUGAAUGAACAAUGAUUGAUUUUUCCUGCUCAGGAAAGUAUGAUACAUAUAUAUAUGUUAUUUUUUUAAUUA
Punica granatum (pomegranate) is the source of this 826-nucleotide non-coding RNA. Lineage: Eukaryota; Viridiplantae; Streptophyta; Magnoliopsida; Myrtales; Lythraceae. The record is from RefSeq and is a predicted model, not a curated record.